RNAcentral lists this unclassified non-coding RNA (216 nucleotides) under fungal sp. RNAcentral's name for it is "partial internal transcribed spacer region". The stretch from base 1 to 46 matches the Rfam family "Eukaryotic small subunit ribosomal RNA", at positions 1786 to 1831 of the family's 1831-position model. The record is from RNAcentral. Lineage: Eukaryota; Fungi.
AAGUCGUAACAAGGUUUCCGUAGGUGAACCUGCGGAAGGAUCAUUAGUGAGUGCGUGAUGGAUGGUGAGAUUAUGCGUGGUGUUUAGCUCCGUCUAGGCAUAAUGUGUAGUUGAACCCAUGAUACUUGCUCUCGCAAGAGAGUGAGCAAACACGAGAACUAUUGACAUUUAUCUUACAAUUCAAUAUUACUUUUAACAACGGAUCUCUGGGCUCCC